ACACCUACGGGUGGCUGCAGUGGGGAAUUUUGGACAAUGGGCGCAAGCCUGAUCCAGCCAUGCCGCGUGCGGGAAGAAGGCCUUCGGGUUGUAAACCGCUUUUGGCAGGAACGAAACGGCGCGAGCCAAUACCUCGCGCUAAUGACGGUACCUGCAGAAUAAGCACCGGCUAACUACGUGCCAGCAGCCGCGGUAAUACGUAGGGUGCAAGCGUUAAUCGGAAUUACUGGGCGUAAAGCGUACGCAGGCGGCUUUGCAAGACAGGUGUGAAAUCCCCGGGCCUAACCUGGGAACUGCAUUUGUGACUGCAUGGCUAGAGUCUGUCAGAGGGGGGUGGAAUUCCACGUGUAGCAGUGAAAUGCGUAGAGAUGUGGAAGAACACCGAUGGCGAAGGCAGCCCCCUGGGAUGAGACUGACGCUCAUGUACGAAAGCGUGGGGAGCAAACAGGAUUAGAUACCCUGGUAGUCCACGCCCUAAACGAUGUCUACUAGUUGUCGGGGGGUAACUCCUUCGGUAACGCAGCUAACGCGUGAAGUAGACCGCCU
RNAcentral lists this ribosomal RNA (546 nucleotides) under uncultured bacterium. Its description in RNAcentral is "bacterial SSU rRNA". It matches the Rfam family "Bacterial small subunit ribosomal RNA", at positions 335 to 874 of the family's 1533-position model. The record is from RNAcentral.